GUCGUUCUGAGGGAUCCAAUCAGAAAUCUUCGUGUUUGGCGCCAAUGCAGUUGGAGGCUCGCCACGGUAACGCCAAAUCACCUGAAAGGAAGAAAACUCUCCUCAGUCCCUGAAUGUUCGUCUGUGAGUGGGCGGAGCUUCUGACCUUCUGUGGGAUCUGACCGAAGGCGGUGGCGAUGAUGUUAGCGUGCUGCAUCGUCAG
Molecule: long non-coding RNA, 202 nt
Organism: Oreochromis niloticus (Nile tilapia)
Lineage: Eukaryota; Metazoa; Chordata; Actinopteri; Cichliformes; Cichlidae
Exons: 2
Source: RefSeq, a predicted model, not a curated record